AGUGAACGCUGGCGGUAGGCCUAACACAUGCAAGUCGAACGGCAGCACAGAGGAGCUUGCUCCUUGGGUGGCGAGUGGCGGACGGGUGAGGAAUACAUCGGAAUCUACUCUGUCGUGGGGGAUAACGUAGGGAAACUUACGCUAAUACCGCAUACGACCUACGGGUGAAAGCAGGGGACCUUCGGGCCUUGCGCGAUUGAAUGAGCCGAUGUCGGAUUAGCUAGUUGGCGGGGUAAAGGCCCACCAAGGCGACGAUCCGUAGCUGGUCUGCGAGGAUGAGCAGCAACACUGGAACUGAGACACGGUCCAGACUCCUACGGGAGGCAGCAGUGGGGAAUAUUGGACAAUGGGCGCAAGCCUGAUCCAGCCAUACCGCGUGGGUGAAGAAGGCCUUCGGGUUGUAAAGCCCUUUUGUUGGGAAAGAAAUCCAGCUGGCUAAUACCCGGUUGGGAUGGCGGUACCCAAAGAAUAAGCACCGGCUAACUUCGUGCCAGCCGCCGCCGUAA
This 506-nucleotide ribosomal RNA is filed under the name uncultured bacterium. RNAcentral's name for it is "partial 16S ribosomal RNA". It matches the Rfam family "Bacterial small subunit ribosomal RNA", at positions 29 to 523 of the family's 1533-position model. The record is from RNAcentral.